CCUCUGAACUCUGUUCCAGAAGCUGAUGAAAAUUUAUUGGGAGGUGAGCUCAUGUCAUUUAGGAAGUAGCUUUUCCUGGGUAAGUACUGCCCUGAGAGUGUGCUCAGGUUACAGUUCAUGAUUUAAAUGCUUGGUUUCACUUGGUUUGAGAUCAAGCAAAUUGAGGAACUUUGUUUAAAAUUCUCUACCCUCAAAUUCCAGUGUCUCAGCUGAUGUAUUUAAGAAUCAAAUUUCCCUCUGGUUUGUGGUGUUGGAGACAGUCUGGGUGCAGUGCUGAAAUGUUGGAUACUGCGGGGUGUUAUGGUUGGAAUGGGUCAAAAAUACAUCAAUAUAGGGGAUGAAGCAUGAAGUAAAGAGGGAUCCUGACACUGGAACAUCCCACUGAAUGUGGAAUCAUCACCGACUGGGAUGACGUGGGAAAGGGAUAGAAGAGGCCCCUGUGGUCAUCCAGGCUGUCUUCCCUCACACUGCUGGCUGGGACAUGUGGCUGACUGCAGUGAAUGGCAAGGUGAGAAAAAGAUUUGGGUCCCAGUUAAUUGAUUAGCAG
RNAcentral lists this long non-coding RNA (547 nucleotides) under Parus major (Great Tit). RNAcentral's name for it is "lncRNA (ENSPMJG00000007519.1)". Lineage: Eukaryota; Metazoa; Chordata; Aves; Passeriformes; Paridae. The record is from RNAcentral.